This 677-nucleotide long non-coding RNA is filed under the name Fukomys damarensis (Damara mole-rat). Its description in RNAcentral is "lncRNA (ENSFDAG00000029117.1)". Lineage: Eukaryota; Metazoa; Chordata; Mammalia; Rodentia; Bathyergidae. The record is from RNAcentral.
GGAACAGCGCCGAGGUUGUUACCCUGCGGAGCCGGCCCAUUCCUGACCCGAGCGCCGAGCGCUGGGGGCGGCGCCCGGCGCGUGGAUCCUCUCAGCUCCUCUCCUCUUUGGCCGCUCGGAUUUCUGUCUAGGAGGAAGAAUGUGUCUUGUCAACUUGCCUGGCUGGAAGCAGAGCUGUGCACCCUCAUUGACAUUCCUGGAAGACUCCCUAUCAACAAAGGAGUAUCACAUCAUGUGCUUCUUGCUUGGAACAAGAGGAUCUCAUGCUUUGAUAAGAAUAUGUUUUGAAUACCCAAGGAGGGCCUCCUUUUGAAGGCUUACACUGCAUCCUCUCUCAAGAUUUGAGUUUACUCAGAAAAGAAAGUGGGGUUGCAAGCUACUCCUUAUUUGUGAUUUCUCAGCAUGACAUCCUUGGAAAAAACUUGAAUAGUUGAAGAAACCUGGUUAGUACUACAUUAAAAGAAAGAAGCUGAACACAGAUUGUGAGAAGAUGAUCAAGGUGUGAGAUUUUGAUGUCAAAUGAAAUCCACAUCCAGUAUUCUCAUUUGUAAAAUGGAGUAAGAAGAUAGUUAAAUGAGAUAAGGCACUUGCUUUCCCUAUAAUGCAAUAUAUGUUCUCCUAAAAAUGAAGGCAUUAUAGAAUUUCAUGCAAUAAAAAUUAUAUGAUUACAGGAAAAG